Molecule: microRNA precursor, 80 nt
Filed under: Chlorocebus sabaeus (green monkey)
Lineage: Eukaryota; Metazoa; Chordata; Mammalia; Primates; Cercopithecidae
Description: miRNA (ENSCSAG00000020589.1)
Source: RNAcentral
AGUAUUAGGUUGGUGCAAAAGUAAUUGUGGUUUUGGCAAUCAUUGCAAAAGCCACAGUUACUUUUGCACCAACCUAAUAU